RNAcentral lists this ribosomal RNA (429 nucleotides) under Chloroflexota bacterium. RNAcentral describes it as "Chloroflexi bacterium partial 16S ribosomal RNA". It matches the Rfam family "Bacterial small subunit ribosomal RNA", at positions 355 to 776 of the family's 1533-position model. The record is from RNAcentral. Lineage: Bacteria; Bacillati; Chloroflexota.
UGGGGAAUAUUGCACAAUGGGCGCAAGCCUGAUGCAGCCAUGCCGCGUGUGUGAAGAAGGCCUUCGGGUUGUAAAGCACUUUCAGCGGGGAGGAAGGCGAUAAGGUUAAUAACCUCAUCGAUUGACGUUACCCGCAGAAGAAGCACCGGCUAACUCCGUGCCAGCAGCCGCGGUAAUACGGAGGGUGCAAGCGUUAAUCGGAAUUACUGGGCGUAAAGCGCACGCAGGCGGUUUGUUAAGUCAGACGUGAAAUCCCCGGGCUCAACCUGGGAACUGCAUCUGAUACUGGCAAGCUUGAGUCCCGUAGAGGGGGGUAGAAUUCCAGGUGUAGCGGUGAAAUGCGUAGAGAUCUGGAGGAAUACCGGUGGAGAAGGCGGCCCCCUGGACGAAGACUGACGCUCAGGUGCGAAAGCGUGGGGAGCAAACAGG